RNAcentral lists this ribosomal RNA (468 nucleotides) under uncultured bacterium. Its description in RNAcentral is "partial 16S ribosomal RNA". It matches the Rfam family "Bacterial small subunit ribosomal RNA", at positions 28 to 507 of the family's 1533-position model. The record is from RNAcentral.
GACGAACGCUGGCGGCGUGCUUAACACAUGCAAGUCGAACGGAAAGGCCCUGCUUUUGUGGGGUGCUCGAGUGGCGAACGGGUGAGUAACACGUGAGUAACCUGCCCUUGACUUUGGGAUAACUUCAGGAAACUGGGGCUAAUACCGGAUAGGAGCUCCUGCUGCAUGGUGGGGGUUGGAAAGUUUCGGCGGUUGGGGAUGGACUCGCGGCUUAUCAGCUUGUUGGUGGGGUAGUGGCUUACCAAGGCUUUGACGGGUAGCCGGCCUGAGAGGGGGACCGGGCACAUGGGGACUGAGAUACGGACCAGACUCCUACGGGAGGCAGCAGUGGGGAAUAUUGCACAAUGGGCGGAAGCCUGAUGCAGCAACGCCGCGUGCGGGAUGACGGCCUUCGGGUUGUAAACCGCUUUCGCCUGUGACGAAGCGGGAGUGACGGUAAUGGGUAAAGAAGCACCGGCUAACUACGUG